RNAcentral lists this ribosomal RNA (253 nucleotides) under uncultured bacterium. Its description in RNAcentral is "partial 16S ribosomal RNA". It matches the Rfam family "Bacterial small subunit ribosomal RNA", at positions 524 to 776 of the family's 1533-position model. The record is from RNAcentral.
UACGUAGGGGGCGAGCGUUGUCCGGAUUUAUUGGGCGUAAAGAGCUCGUAGGUGGCUGUUCAAGUCGGGUGUGAAAUCCCAAGGCUCAACCUUGGGUCUGCAUUCGAUACUGGGUGGCUUGAGUCUGGUAGGGGGACCUGGAAUUCCUGGUGUAGCGGUGGAAUGCGCAGAUAUCAGGAGGAACACCGGUGGCGAAGGCGGCUCUCUGGGACGGUACUGACGCUGAGACGCGAAAGCGUGGGGAGCGAACAGG